GUGACAAUGUCAAAUCGUAUUUUGGUUUUGUUUUCAAACGUAAAUGAAUAUUAUUUACUGAGAUAUAGAAGAUAAUAAACUGAUAUAAGACCUUCUGUUGAAACCAGAGAUAUCCUUCUUAACAUAUAUUUAAUACAAGCGCUAUAACCUACAAAUACAAAUUAAAACAUGGAUUUAGGACCUGAUGAAAUGGAAACUAAGUUCUUAUGCCUUGGAUGCGUUGGAACGGGGCGAAUGUACAAUGUACGACAGUACAACCUUCUAGAACCAUAUUUGCUACUCACUGGACUAAAGCUUUCAGAAGAUGUACAAACAAAAUACUUUUGCCAAUUCUGCAGUACAUUGUUAAAGAAAUACAUUGUGUUUAGAGAAAGAUGUCUUCGUUCAUUUGAAUAUCUCACAAGCAUUACCAAGGACAAGAUUUCAAUAAAAUUUUUGAAGCAUGAUAAUAUUUCUCAGUACACCGUUAAUAAAGUCCUAGACUUGCAUAGCUACUUGACUGAAGAUGAAUCAAUUGAUAAUAAAUAUGAUAUAAAGAAUGAUGAUAACAACUCUGAUGAUCAUGAGCUACAUUAUCAUAGUGAUGGAACAGAAAACUAUGAUAUAAUUACAAAGAAUAAUGAAGACACCUAUUGUGAUAUUAAAUGUGAACUAAAUGAAAACAUAUUUACAAAUAAAUCACAUGAUAAUAAAAAAAUAGAAGAAAACGAAAACAACGGUACCAAAAAGAAUAUACUUAUCAGCAAUUUAGUUUCCGAACAUAAAAAAAUCGAAGAAAAGAAAAACAAUUCAAAAAGAAUAAAUAAAACAGUCACUAAGACAAAACUUGCUAAAAAGCAGCCAUUCAGGCUAUCCACUGAAGAGGGUAGGCGGAUAUUCGAAAAAAAAUAUGGCGUGAGUAUCAAAAUAAUGUCAGAAGAAGAAAAAAUUACAGAUCUGAAAGAGAAAUAUGUUAAAAUCAUUGGAGGCGUAAAAUGCAAGUUGUGUUAUAAAUAUUUUAAAAAUGAAAAAAUGCUGAAAAACCACGCAAUGGAUAUGCAUGAUGAGAGUAAGCCGAUGAGAUGCAAGUAUUGUGGCUACAGGACAGACACCAGGAGCUCCCUUCAGUAUCACACCAUCAGGAACCACAAGUACAAAAUAACCUGCCACAUGUGCGGACUGCAUAUACGGGCAUCCAAUGCCAUAGCCGAGCACCACAGAACACACAGCGGGCAAACAUUCACCUGUCGCUUCUGUGGAAUCGUGUGCAAAAAAUCUAAGCAAUAUCGUUUGCACUUGCGGAAGUCGCACCCUUCUCAACUGAUAUGGUGUAAUAUUUGCGGAGAAGUGUAUAUCAGCUUGGAAAAUCAUCUCAGAGCGUCACAUAAAGAUGUAUUAAAAACAAAUUUCAAAUGUACGAAAUGCAAUGCGUACUUUGUAAAUGAAGAGAUUUUAUGUAAACACGAACGCGCACAGACAGACGCACCGUGCGACAAAUGUUGUUAUCACUGCGCUGAAGGUUUUAUAAAUGUUGAUUUACUGAGACAACAUUUCGAGAAAGAACAUAUAUUUAUCAAGAAAACUAUAGAUAGACCGAAAAAGGCGCCGCGGUUAUACAAGAAGUGCAACACGAACGAAUCAGGCGGCGUGUGUGACGUUUGCGGGAAACGAUUGGGAACAAUUGUAAUGUGUGCAGAACAAUGGAUUGGAGUACCACAUGUUGAUACACGCGGGCGCGUUGCCGUACGAGUGCCACAGCUGCGGGAAGAAGUUCAGGUGCAAAAUGUCUUUACAGAACCAUUGUCGCGUACAUUCUGGUGAUCGGCCGUUUUCUUGCGAGCUUUGUCAGAAGGCGUUCAAGAGUACGUCGGGGCUUUACAGGCAUAGACGGGUACACACAGGAGAGAAGAGGCAUCAGUGUGAGAUCUGCUGCAAAUUCUAUAGCACCUCGACCGGCUUGAAGGCGCAUAUCAAAUCUGUUCAUAUGAAGAUGCCUAAAACAACGUAGAAUGACUUCUUAUGUUUACGCAAA
This 2011-nucleotide unclassified non-coding RNA is filed under the name Manduca sexta (tobacco hornworm). Its description in RNAcentral is "zinc finger protein 879, transcript variant X2". Lineage: Eukaryota; Metazoa; Arthropoda; Insecta; Lepidoptera; Sphingidae. The record is from RNAcentral.